This 334-nucleotide unclassified non-coding RNA is filed under the name soil metagenome. RNAcentral's name for it is "partial contains 5.8S ribosomal RNA, internal transcribed spacer 2, and large subunit ribosomal RNA". The stretch from base 1 to 120 matches the Rfam family "5.8S ribosomal RNA", at positions 35 to 154 of the family's 154-position model. The record is from RNAcentral.
GAUGAAGAACGUAGCGAAAUGCGAUAAGUAAUGUGAAUUGCAGAAUUCAGUGAAUCAUCGAAUCUUUGAACGCACAUUGCGCCCGCCAGUAUUCUGGCGGGCAUGCCUGUUCGAGCGUCAUUUCAACCAUCAAGCCCCCGGCUUGUGUUGGGGACCUGCGGCUGCCGCAGGCCCUGAAAUGCAGUGGCGGGCUCGCUGUCACUCCGAGCGUAGUAGUUACAUCUCGCUCUGGGCGUGCUGCGGGUUCCGACCGUUAAAAGCCUUAUUUACCCAAGGUUGACCUCGGAUCAGGUAGGAAGACCCGCUGAACUUAAGCAUAUCAAUAAGCGGAGGA